RNAcentral lists this transfer RNA (69 nucleotides) under Rattus norvegicus (Norway rat). It matches the Rfam family "tRNA". Rfam says of the family: Transfer RNA (tRNA) molecules are approximately 80 nucleotides in length. Their secondary structure includes four short double-helical elements and three loops (D, anti-codon, and T loops). The record is from Rfam by way of RNAcentral. Lineage: Eukaryota; Metazoa; Chordata; Mammalia; Rodentia; Muridae.
GGGGAUUUGGCUCAGUGGUAGAGCACUUGCCUAGCAAGCACAAGGCCCUGGAUUCGAUCCCCAGCUCCG